GAGGUACGUACACAGUGGCCUGGGGCUGUUAUGAAUGCAUCCAAUAAAACAGAACAUGUUGAUAUCUGGAGCAAAUUAAGAAAUAAUGUCAAACGUAGUGCUCUGGUGAAUUGGGACAGGUAUCAUCCACAGUAUUUGUCUGUACAGUAGCUGGUUGGUAGAGAGGUAGUGCUCUGGUGAAUUGGGACAGGUAUACUACACAGUAUUUGUCUGUACAGUAGCUGGUUGGUAGAGAGGUAGGGUUCUGGUGAAUUGGGACAGGUAUAAUCCACAGUAUUUCUCUGUACAGUAGCUGGUUGGUAGAGAGGUAGUGCUCUGGUGAAUUGGGACAAGUCGCUCUGUUUCUGCCCCAUCAGGGCCUAAUACAUUAGUCAUGGCUGUGUGUCCUAGAGGCCAUUCCUCAUGGUGUAAUUACCAUCCUGCCUGUUAUAUUACUAUGUCAGCUAUUUACUUAAAACCUUAAUCGAUAUAAAAAAAUAAAGAAGACUUUUUAUGGCUGAAGCUAAAUGGGCUCUGACAGCACAGGAGAACAACAGCCAUUACUGCCACAGACAGAAACAACAUAUGGAACAGACAAACUGUCAUCUAGACUAAUAUUGAAAACAAGAUGACAUACAGCAAGGUCUACAAAUAUACUGCUGAUCUGACUCAGACACACACACACACACACACACACACACACACUUACCUGUUGCAGGCAUCCUGGGAAAGAGGGCUGGACUGUGUGACUUUCUGAUCCCUGACCCUGAGAGCACCCGUGGUGUCUGCUGGGAGCUGUAGUUUGUCAGGGUAUCAGAGGAGUGUGGUGGUGGAUCACUCAUCAGGGAAGGAGAAGGAGAGGGGUGGGGUGACAUGGCUGACUGGGUGGAUAGGGGUUCGUCUUGUGAUGGAAUCGACAUGUUCCUAGAGGACAGAGCAUCUGGAGGUGAUGGUGUUGAUGGCGACAUGGUGGAUAACGGUUUUGGAGGUGACCUGUAGGACACAGGGCUUCCUGGUGACACGGUAGAGAGAGGGUUCCUGGGUGACCUGCUGGAUAAUUGUUUCCUAGGUGACUGAGAGUAUGGCAAGGUGGACGAUAAGGGUUCUGAUGGUGAUGGCGAUGACUGAGAUCUCAGGGAGAGAGGUGACAGAGGUGACAACCUGUCAGGCAGGUGUUUGGGAGGUGAGGGGGGGUGAAUAAACCUGGAGGCCUGGGGAGGUAACAGAGGUGACAACCUGUCAGGCAGGUGUUUGGGAGGUGAGGGGGGGUGAAUAAACCUGGAGGCCUGGGGAGGUAACAGAGGUGACAACCUGUCAGGCAGGUGUUUGGGAGGUGAGGGGGGGUGAAUAAACCUGGAGGCCCGGGGAGGUAACAGAGGUGACUCCGGCUCUGUGGGGCUGGAAGGUGAGAGAGUGAAUGUGGACCUGAGGGAGUGCAGAGUGGGUGGAGCGGGAGACAGAGAGGAUGGGGGCCCUGCAGAUAAGAGGUCUGGGUUGGGUGGAGCAGGAGACAGAGAGGAUGGGGGCCCUGCAGAUAAGAGGUCUGGGUUGGGUGUAGAGGGAGAAGGGCUGGGGGGUGAGGGGUCUACAGAUAAGAGGUCUGGGUUGGGUGUAGAGGGAGAAGGGCUGGGGGAUGAGGGGUCUACAGAUAAGAGGUCUGGGUUGGGUGUAGAGGGAGAAGGGCUGGGGGUGAGGGGUCUACAGUUGACUGAUGGAGGUUGUACGAGCGGUCAGUUCGUGUGGACUUGGCUGGUGUCUUGGUUGACGACCCAGGGGUCUUUGGUCCUCUGGGCUGUGGUGACCCAGUGGUGAACCUUGGUGACCGUACACUAGUGUGGUCAGGUUGUGGUAUCUGAGUGGUGCCCACUUUAGAGACCAACGGAGGGCGAGAAGACCAGGUCACUGGAGACUCAGACAACAUGGCUCCCUGGGACAAUGCAUUGUGGGACAGGUUAGGACCUCCAAUUACAUUGACUUCCUCUUGCCUGUGAUAGAUAGAUAGAUAGAUAGAUAGAUAGAUAGAUAGAUAGAUAGAUAGAUAGAUAGAUAGAUAGAUAGAUA
Molecule: long non-coding RNA, 2040 nt
Filed under: Salmo salar (Atlantic salmon)
Lineage: Eukaryota; Metazoa; Chordata; Actinopteri; Salmoniformes; Salmonidae
Description: lncRNA (ENSSSAG00000121348.1)
Source: RNAcentral